UAGCAUCUUUGAAGUUGGAAUAUUGGGCUCGUAGAUUUCUUUCCUGAGCUUGCUCAAGGCUCUACAUCUGGGAUUUUCUGGUGCCGUUGGAGCUUGUGCGUUUGAUUGGCGUGUGGAUCUUCGAGGCGGGACUGAUGCCUGUGCACUUCUCAACAUUUGAAGUUCAAAGCCAAGGAAAAAGAUUGUACUUACAGGAGUGGCAUGUCUAGAAGAAGAUCGAUAGAGCACUGGCACUCAUAAGAGUCACUGGAGUAGAAAAAUCAUAAAUUCAAUGGUCUAAACGCUGUACAAAUUGAAUAGUAAUUGACACAAGCAACUGCAUUUCUCUAUGUUAUCCACUAUCCAGCACAAGCGUACUAUUUCUAUAAAAUACGAAACAGAUUAGUAACAUAUUUCUCCUCUAAUACAAGAUGAUACUAUUUGGUAUGUACAGUUUCUACUUAAUUAAGAGAAGAAAAUUCAUGCUCUAGUAAUCCCAUACUUAAUGAACUUGUGAGUUAGUGAAAUCUAGCCUUACUCAGAAAUGCUGUACGGUCCUGCAUGCCUUCUAUCUGCUCGAUGCCAUGAAGGAUUCUGUGGACCUGGUGUCGUCUGAACCUGGUACAAAUAUCUUAGCUUUAGAACAAUGAUAGUUCAACUUUCUGAAGCUAUGAACAUGAUUCAACAGGAAUUCUUUUAUAACUGCCGAAUGUAAGUUACGGUUCUUAAACAAAUCUUAUGCGUCAUGGAAAUUGCAUCUUAACCUAGCAGCGGUCAGUGGGGCAAAUACUACCUCAACACUUAGUACCAAGAAAAGGGGGAAAAAGUACCAAGACAAGAGAGAAUACUAUACUUACAGGAGUGGCAUGUCUCGAAGAAGCUUGGUAGAACACUGGCACCUCGUAAGAGUCACUUCUGGAGAAAAAUUCAAAACUAGUGCUAUAAAUACAGAAAAUUUGAUAACUAUUUAUGCAUGCAUGUAUAUUUAUCUGAAUACUCAAUGUUAUUAAUUAUCUUAUGACUA
Prosopis cineraria is the source of this 1003-nucleotide long non-coding RNA. RefSeq lists it as uncharacterized. NCBI's taxonomy places the organism in Eukaryota, Viridiplantae, Streptophyta, Magnoliopsida, Fabales, Fabaceae. The transcript has 2 exons. The record is from RefSeq and is a predicted model, not a curated record.